Molecule: ribosomal RNA, 497 nt
Filed under: uncultured bacterium
Lineage: Bacteria
Description: partial 16S ribosomal RNA
Rfam family: Bacterial small subunit ribosomal RNA
Source: RNAcentral
GAUGAACGCUGGCGGCGUGCCUAAUACAUGCAAGUCGAGCGAACGGACGAGAAGCUUGCUUCUCUGGUGUUAGCGGCGGACGGGUGAGUAACACGUGGAUAACCUACCUAUAAGACUGGGAUAACUUCGGGAAACCGGAGCUAAUACCGGAUGAUAUUUUGAACCGCGUGGUUCAAAAGUGAAAGACGGUCUUGCUGUCACUUAUAGAUGGAUCCGCGCUGCAUUAGCUAGUUGGUAAGGUAACGGCUUACCAAGGCAACGAUGCAUAGCCGACCUGAGAGGGUGAUCGGCCACACUGGAACUGAGACACGGUCCAGACUCCUACGGGAGGCAGCAGUAGGGAAUCUUCCGCAAUGGGCGAAAGCCUGACAGAGCAACGCCGCGUGAGUGAUGAAGGUCUUCGGAUCGUAAAACUCUGUUAUUAGGGAAGAACAUAUGUGUAAGUAACUGUGCACAUCUUGACGGUACCUAAUCAGAAAGCCACGGCUAACUACGUG